GACGAACGCUGGCGGCGUGCCUAAUACAUGCAAGUAGAACGCUGAAGGAGUAGCUUGCUCUUCUUGAUGAGUUGCGAACGGGUGCGUAACGCGUAGGUAACCUGCCUGGUAUCGGGGGAUAACUUUUGGAAACGAUAGCUACUACCGCAUAACAGUAGAUGUUGCAUGACAUUUACUUAAAAGUUGCAAUUGCAUCACUACCAUAUGGACCUGCGUUGUAUUAGCUUGUUGGUGGGGUAACGGCUCACCAAGGCGACGAUACAUAGCCUACCUGAGAGGGUGAUCGGCCAAACUGGGAAUGAGACAAGGCCCAGAAUCCUACGGGAAGCAGCAGUAGGGAAACAUCGGCAAUAGACGGAAGGCUGACCGAACAAAGACGCGUGAGGGAAGAAGGUUUUCGGAUCGUAAAGCUCUGUUGGAAGAGAAGAAAGAGUGGGAGAGUGGAAAGUUCACGCUGUGACGGUAUCUUACCAGAAAGGAACGGCUAACUACGUG
This 495-nucleotide ribosomal RNA is filed under the name uncultured bacterium. RNAcentral describes it as "partial 16S ribosomal RNA". It matches the Rfam family "Bacterial small subunit ribosomal RNA", at positions 28 to 507 of the family's 1533-position model. The record is from RNAcentral.